RNAcentral lists this transfer RNA (71 nucleotides) under Camelus bactrianus (Bactrian camel). It matches the Rfam family "tRNA". From Rfam's summary of the family: Transfer RNA (tRNA) molecules are approximately 80 nucleotides in length. The record is from Rfam by way of RNAcentral. Lineage: Eukaryota; Metazoa; Chordata; Mammalia; Artiodactyla; Camelidae. RNAcentral also lists the same sequence under 2 other names.
GAGGGUAUAGCUCAGUGGUAGAGUGCAUGCUUAGCAUGCACGAGAUCCUGGUUCAAUCCCCAGUACCUCCA